Regulatory RNA element from Streptomyces sp. DI166, 90 nucleotides. It matches the Rfam family "ZMP/ZTP riboswitch aptamer (pfl RNA motif)". From Rfam's summary of the family: Previously known as pfl RNA. ZMP is also known as AICAR. NCBI's taxonomy places the organism in Bacteria, Bacillati, Actinomycetota, Actinomycetes, Kitasatosporales, Streptomycetaceae. The record is from Rfam.
UCAGCGGGCCGUGACUGGCGCGCUGGGAUGGGACCGACCAUCGGGGAGCGGCCCGGUCGUGACUGUGUGCCGUGCGCCUGGGCCGAACCG